RNAcentral lists this long non-coding RNA (513 nucleotides) under Mytilus galloprovincialis (Mediterranean mussel). Lineage: Eukaryota; Metazoa; Mollusca; Bivalvia; Mytilida; Mytilidae. The record is from RNAcentral.
UUCGGUUUCUUUUUCCUUAUUCGAUUUUCAUUUCCCUAUACAGUUUCGAUUUCCUUAUUCGAUUUCCAUUUCCUUAUUCGAUUUUCAUUUCCUUAUUCGGUUUCUUUUUCCUUUUUCAAUGUUCAUUUCCUUUUUCGGUUUCUAUUUCCUGAUUGGAUGUUCUUUUCCUUAUUCGAUUUCCAUUUCCUUAUUCAAUUUCCAUUUCCUUAUUCGGUUUCUUUUUCCUUUUUCAAUGUUCAUUUCCUUUUUCGGUUUCUAUUUCCUUAUUGGGUUUCUAUUUCCUUAUUGGGUUUCUAUUUCCUUAUUGGAUUUUCGUUUCCUUAUUCGAUUUCCAUUUCCUUAUUCGAUUUCCAUUUCCUAAUUCGGUUUCUUUUUUCCUUUUUCAAUAUUCAUUUCCUUUUUCGGUUUCUAUUUCCUUAUUCGGUUUCUAUUUCCUUAUUCAGUUUCCAUUUCCUUAUUGGAUUUUCAUUUCCUUAUUGGAUUUUCAUUUCCUUAUUCGGCUACUUUUUCCUU